Molecule: ribosomal RNA, 381 nt
Filed under: marine Metazoa environmental sample
Lineage: Eukaryota; Metazoa
Description: SSU rRNA
Rfam family: Eukaryotic small subunit ribosomal RNA
Source: RNAcentral
AGCUCCAAUAGCGUAUAUUAAAGUUGUUGCAGUUAAAAAGCUCGUAGUUGGAUCUCGGGUCCAGGCUUGCGGUCCACCUCGCGGUGGCUACUGCUCGUCCUGACCUACCUCCCGGUUUUCCCUUGGUGCUCUUAGCUGAGUGUCUCGGGUGGCCGGAACGUUUACUUUGAAAAAAUUAGAGUGUUCAAAGCAGGCAUUUCGCCUGAAUAAUGGUGCAUGGAAUAAUGGAAUAGGACCUCGGUUCUAUUUUGUUGGUUUUCGGAACUUGAGGUAAUGAUUAAGAGGGACAGACGGGGGCAUUCGUAUUACGGUGUUAGAGGUGAAAUUCUUGGAUCGCCGUAAGACGAACUACUGCGAAAGCAUUUGCCAAGAAUGUUUUCA